This 468-nucleotide ribosomal RNA is filed under the name uncultured bacterium. Its description in RNAcentral is "bacterial SSU rRNA". It matches the Rfam family "Bacterial small subunit ribosomal RNA", at positions 43 to 507 of the family's 1533-position model. The record is from RNAcentral.
CGUGCUUAAUACAUGCAAGUCGAACGAGAAAGCCUUCGGGGUGAGUAGAGUGGCGCACGGGAGAGUAAUGCAUAGGAACGACCUUUUUGGUGGGGAAUAACCACGGGAAACUGUGGCUAAAACCGCAUAAUCAGGCAACUGUAAAGAUGGCCUCUACUUGUAAGCUAUCGCCAAAAGAGCGGCCUAUGUCCCAUUAGCUUGAUGGUGAGGUAAAGGCUCACCAUGGCGACGAUGGGUAGCUGGUCUGAGAGGAUGAUCAGCCUCACUGGGACUGAGACACGGCCCAGACUCCUACGGGAGGCAGCAGUAGGGAAUCUUGCACAAUGGGCGCAAGCCUGAUGCAGCAACGCCGCGUGAGUGAAGAAGGCUCUUGGGUUGUAAAGCUCUUUCGGCUGGAAAGAAGGGUCUUUGUUCAAAUAGGGCAGAGAUUUGACGGUACCAGAAGAAGAAGCACCGGCUAACUCCGUG